RNAcentral lists this ribosomal RNA (503 nucleotides) under uncultured bacterium. RNAcentral describes it as "partial 16S ribosomal RNA". It matches the Rfam family "Bacterial small subunit ribosomal RNA", at positions 28 to 523 of the family's 1533-position model. The record is from RNAcentral.
GAUGAACGCUGGCGGCGUGCCUAAUACAUGCAAGUCGAACGAAGAUCUAGCUUGCUAGAUCUUAGUGGCGAACGGGUGAGUAAUACAUAAAUAAUCUGCCCAUAUGACUGGGAUAACUAUUGGAAACGAUAGCUAAUACCGGAUAGGUUGAUUGGAGGCAUCUCUGAUUAAUUAAAGUAGGAUUUCUACACAAAUGGAUGAGUUUAUGGCGCAUUAGUUAGUUGGUGGGGUAACGGCCUACCAAGACGAUGAUGCGUAGCCGACCUGAGAGGGUGACCGGCCACACUGGGACUGAGACACGGCCCAGACUCCUACGGGAGGCAGCAGUAGGGAAUUUUCGGCAAUGGGCGCAAGCCUGACCGAGCAACGCCGCGUGAGUGAUUAAGGCCUUCGGGUUGUAAAGCUCUGUUGUAAGGGAAGAACAUUCAGGAUAGGAAAUGAUCUUGAACUGACGGUACCUUACCAGAAAGCCACGGCUAACUACGUGCCAGCCGCCGCGGUAA